RNAcentral lists this ribosomal RNA (502 nucleotides) under uncultured bacterium. RNAcentral describes it as "partial 16S ribosomal RNA". It matches the Rfam family "Bacterial small subunit ribosomal RNA", at positions 30 to 523 of the family's 1533-position model. The record is from RNAcentral.
AUUGAACGCUGGCGGCAUGCCUUACACAUGCAAGUCGAACGGCAGCAUAGGAGCUUGCUCCUGAUGGCGAGUGGCGAACGGGUGAGUAAUAUAUCGGAACGUGCCCUAGAGUGGGGGAUAACUAGUCGAAAGAUUAGCUAAUACCGCAUACGAUCUAAGGAUGAAAGUGGGGGAUCGCAAGACCUCAUGCUCGUGGAGCGGCCGAUAUCUGAUUAGCUAGUUGGUGAGGUAAAAGCUCACCAAGGCGACGAUCAGUAGCUGGUCUGAGAGGACGACCAGCCGCACUGGGACUGGGACACGGCCCAGACUCCUACGGGAGGCAGCAGUGGGGAAUUUUGGACAAUGGGGGCAACCCUGAUCCAGCAAUGCCGCGUGAGUGAAGAAGGCCUUCGGGUUGUAAAGCUCUUUUGUCAGGGAAGAAACGGUUUUGGCUAACAUCCAGAACUAAUGACGGUACCUGAAGAGUAAGCACCGGCUAACUACGUGCCAGCAGCCGCCGUAA